GGUACACAUGGGGCAAUGAAGUGCAUCUUGAAUGGAGUCCUCCAACAGCAUGACACGUUAUGCAUGAGUUUGUUUAAACGCACAUACCCCAGGUGGCCGGAAAAGUGGUUCCCGAUGACAGAUGCUUAAGAGAAAGGUCAAGUGGUGGCCCAGGUUUAUGGUUUCUCCCAAGUGUGAAGGGAGAAGAAAUCACAUUUGCUGCACAUGGGAAUGAAGCUCUGGUUCAGAAUGAGUUACUAUUCAAGUUUUGUACGAGGGAAAUUUUUUACUUUGUUUACUUUUCUUUCUCCCCAAAGGUUUCUUCAGAAACCAGUUUAUAGUGUAUAAUAUAUGGUAGCUCAUUUUUUCGUGCCACAACACAAUCUUGUAUCACUUAUAAAUUAGUUCCUA
RNAcentral lists this unclassified non-coding RNA (390 nucleotides) under Hevea brasiliensis (rubber tree). Lineage: Eukaryota; Viridiplantae; Streptophyta; Magnoliopsida; Malpighiales; Euphorbiaceae. The record is from RNAcentral.